CCUCCCCUGCCCCCUCAGCCUGCGGGCAGCAGAAGGCGGCGGCCAGCCUCCUCCUGCCCCUCGGCCGGACGAACCGCGGCUGCCGCGCCUGUCACCUCUGCACCUGCCCGGCUGAGGUGAGAUGCCUGGCGCGCAAGAAAAAUCUGAAAUUUGAAACAGAAAUGGCCACAUAAGGACAACUCAGAUGAAGUGCAGGCGGGCUGACAUCGCGCACUUGGGUCUUUCCGGGAAAGACAGCCGCGCUCUGGGAGAAGCCUAGUCCUCCGGCUUGUCCCCGGACCCGCCCCAAAGGCCGCUGGGAGCUCGGUGAGGACGUGGCGGUCCCCUUGCUCAUCUGACUCCGGAGGCAGGUUCCGCAGAAAGAGCUCUCAAUCUCGGCCGCUGGGCUCCAAGAUAAUCUCCUGGCGAAA
Molecule: long non-coding RNA, 410 nt
Organism: Homo sapiens (human)
Lineage: Eukaryota; Metazoa; Chordata; Mammalia; Primates; Hominidae
Source: Ensembl